Molecule: transfer RNA, 76 nt
Filed under: Chloroflexota bacterium
Lineage: Bacteria; Bacillati; Chloroflexota
Also listed under: 1 other name
Description: Chloroflexi bacterium tRNA-Arg
Rfam family: tRNA
About the family: Transfer RNA (tRNA) molecules are approximately 80 nucleotides in length. Their secondary structure includes four short double-helical elements and three loops (D, anti-codon, and T loops).
Source: RNAcentral
GUCCCCGUAGCUCAGUGGACAGAGCGGCUGCCUUCUAAGCAGCGGGUCGAAGGUUCGAAUCCUUCCGGGGGCGCCA